Molecule: ribosomal RNA, 368 nt
Filed under: Dasya iridescens
Lineage: Eukaryota; Rhodophyta; Florideophyceae; Ceramiales; Dasyaceae
Description: bacterial LSU rRNA
Rfam family: Bacterial large subunit ribosomal RNA
Source: RNAcentral
CUUUACUGUAGCUUGGAAUUGAAUUUGGGUUUAUUUUGCGCAGUAUAGGUGGGAGGCUAAGAUCUUAUAUUUGUGGAUAUAAAUGAGCCAUCAGUGAGAUACCACUCUAAUUAAACUAGAAUUCUAAUCUUGAUGUCGUUAUCCGGCCAAGAAACAGUUUCAGGUGGGCAGUUUGACUGGGGCGGUCGCCUCCUAAAAGGUAACGGAGGCGUGCAAAGGUUUCUUCAGGCUGGUUGGAAAUCAGUCGUAGAGUGUAAAGGCAUAAAGAAGCUUGACUGCGAGACCUACAAGUCGAGCAGAGACGAAAGUCGGCCUUAGUGAUCCGACAGUGCUGAGUGGAAAGGCUGUCGCUCAACGGAUAAAAGUUA